Molecule: ribosomal RNA, 480 nt
Filed under: uncultured bacterium
Lineage: Bacteria
Description: partial 16S ribosomal RNA
Rfam family: Bacterial small subunit ribosomal RNA
Source: RNAcentral
GACGAACGCUGGCGGCGUGCUUAACACAUGCAAGUCGAACGAUGAACCUCCUUCGGGAGGGGAUUAGUGGCGAACGGGUGAGUAACACGUGGGCAAUCUGCCCUUCACUCUGGGACAAGCCCUGGAAACGGGGUCUAAUACCGGAUACGACCUACCGAGACAUCUUGGUGGGUGGAAAGCUCCGGCGGUGAAGGAUGAGCCCGCGGCCUAUCAGCUUGUUGGUGAGGUAACGGCUCACCAAGGCGACGACGGGUACCCGGCCUGAGAGGGCGACCGGGCAAACUGGGACUGAGACACGGCCCAGACUACUACGGGAGGCAGCAGUGGGGAAGAUUGCACAAUGGGCGAAAGCCUGAUGCAGCGACGCCGCGUGAGGGAUGACGGCCUUCGGGUUGUAAACCUCUUUCAGUAGGGAAGAAGCGAGAGUGACGGUACCUGCAGAAGAAGCGCCGGCUAACUACGUGCCAGCAGCCGCCGCGG